RNAcentral lists this ribosomal RNA (406 nucleotides) under uncultured bacterium. Its description in RNAcentral is "partial 16S ribosomal RNA". It matches the Rfam family "Bacterial small subunit ribosomal RNA", at positions 30 to 526 of the family's 1533-position model. The record is from RNAcentral.
AUUGAACGCUGGCGGCAGGCCUAACACAUGCAAGUCGAACGAGUGGCGGACGGGUGAGUAAUGUCUGGGAAACUGCCUGAUGGAGGGGGAUAACUACUGGAAACGGUAGCUAAUACCGCAUACCAUCGGAUGUGCCCAGAUGGGAUUAGCUAGUAGGUGGGGUAAAGGCUCACCAAGGCGACGAUCCCUAGCGGGUCUGAGAGGAUGACCAGCCACACGGGAACUGAGACACGGUCCGGACUCCUACGGGAGGCAGCAGUGGGGAAUAUUGCACAAUGGCCGCAGGCCGGAUGCAGCCAUGCCGCUUGGAUGAAGAAGGCCUUCGGGUUGUAAAGUACUUUAAGUUGGGAGGCGUUACCAACAGAAUAAGCACCGGCUAACUUCGUGCCAGCCGCCGCGGUAAUAC